CCUAUAUCUUUCACAAGGUUGACCUCGG
This 28-nucleotide ribosomal RNA is filed under the name Rhinocladiella atrovirens. Its description in RNAcentral is "partial 28S ribosomal RNA". The record is from RNAcentral. Lineage: Eukaryota; Fungi; Ascomycota; Eurotiomycetes; Chaetothyriales; Herpotrichiellaceae.